RNAcentral lists this long non-coding RNA (4622 nucleotides) under Bemisia tabaci. RNAcentral's name for it is "lncRNA ENSSSA1NGG000678". The record is from RNAcentral. Lineage: Eukaryota; Metazoa; Arthropoda; Insecta; Hemiptera; Aleyrodidae.
UGUUGGGAGAUUACUUUCAGUAAUGUACGUUUCACAAAUCGUGCUUAUGAGAAAUUGUGAUAAAUUCGCACCUUGUCUAGUGGUUCUUUCAUCUACUAUAGAUCAAACAAUUCAAUACUUACAUCAAAGAAUGAUUUAUCAUCGGUCCUCUUCGGAGGCACAGGAGCGGCCUGAGCAUUAUUUACAGACUGAACCUCAGCGAGAUCUAGAAAACAAAAUUAAUGGAAUCAGAGACAGUGAGAAUCUUCCAUGGCAUCAUAGUAACGGAGCUGGUGCUUGAUGGAAUCUAGAACAAACCACCGUUGCUUCCAGCCUUUGAGCAAAGCACCCCGUUUGUACAGGUACCCCUCGUGUGUUCGAUUCUCAGCAACAUGCGAAGAAAAGUCAUUGUAGUACUGCUGAUUUGAGCUUUGUAAAACAUUCACACCUGCAGCAGUAAAAAGGUUAUGAAUACUUCUGGUAACUGAUCCACUACAGUCAUAAAAAAUAUUUCUAACCACUCGAUUCAUUGUGCCCAUCUUACUGAGGACCCACACUAAUCUGACACAUUCUACAACAUACUUAAUGAGAUGAACUUAUUGUUGUAUCUCACUUGAAGGAAUGUAUCGCAAUAGACCACUAGACAAGGUACGAAUUGCAGCAUUCUAAUACAUGUUUCUAAACCAAAAUUUUACGUUAAACACGAUGCGCACAACGAAAAUUACCGAAAUCAACUCCUUACAAAGAUAUUUAAUGAUUCUUCAUGCAUAAAUUUAAACCACCUGGUCAUGAAAACUCAAUGCUCUCCGUGAUUCACAUCGUGCGCUAAACGUUUAUCAUGACAGUCUCUGUGAUAUAAAAAUGUAGCAACCUCAAUCUUGACACUUUGGCUCAGUUAUAGCGAGUUGCUUACAGUUUGAACAACACAUGGUGGGAAAUGAACAUCGCCCGAUAGAGAAGAUUGCCAAAACCGUUGUAGUGCGCGAUUUGACUAUUGUAGAGCUUUGAGUUUCUUGUGAGCAGGCAGUUCAAAUUCCUCGUAACCAAUGUGAAAAAAAACCGUUAAUAUCUUCGUUAGGAAAUGGUUUCAGUAAUUUUCGUUGCGCGAGUCGUGUUCUACGUGAAAUUCUGGUUAAGAAACAUGUAUCAGAAUCCUUUAACUCGUAUCUUGUCUACUGGUCCAUUGUGCUGUUACGGUAUUUCUUAUGGACAUUUUAUUUUUUUAUAAGAGAGCCGACGCAUGAAUUUGCCUAAAAUUUAUAGUUAUUAUUCUUAGUACCUGCAAGAAAAGACACUUAACUUUUAGACGACUUUGUACAAUCUUUUGCCAACGAAAAAAUAAAAUGUCCUUAGAAAUACUGAAAAAGCGCAGAUGAGAUACAUUCUAUCAUGGGAGAGACAAAAAUAUUCUUUGAAAAAGAACUAAUUUAUUUAGCAUAGAUAACUUCACAUUUUUUCAGAGUUUUUAAUUUUCCCCAAUAAAAAAAUCUAUAUGCACCAGAGACUAAGGCUUUGCAAAUAAACCAAUAUUGAGAGCAACCUACCCUACAGUCAAAGCAAAUCAUCUGACAAUUACGCAUUGUUGUGCCAAGGUCCGUCUUGUUUCUUAACGCAAUCCACAUAGAGGUGCACAAUCUCAUCUGAAUCAAGUUUCAUCAGAUUAGCACAUCACAAAUCAAAACAUCAUCACAGAUUGUGUGGAGAGAAACAUAAGAAAUUACAUAAAUACCAUCAAAUUCAAAAGCCCAAAAGGUGCUGAGAAAUUAAUUCCCAAACAACUUUCCUUUUUUUAAAGGUUUCAGUAAUUUCUAGAUAAAAAUCUUGACAGCUGAGAUUUAAUUAAAUUUAGAGUGACUUACUUGAAUUCAUAGAGGAACUAUCACAUUGAGCCCGAGAGCUGUUAGCAUUUGAGUGAUUAUCUGAGACAGCCUUGUAUUUUGUACAGUUCUUGGCAACACUCUCAAUACACUUCUCAUGACAGCUGUAUCCGCAAUCACAACAGCGCAUGCCCGUCUGAAAAUAACAAAAAAUGAGGAAAAAUUUAAAAAAGAUACUCAAGACAGAUCGACAUAAAUUUCUGUGACUAAGAAACUGAAAAAACAUAGACCACUCAAAAGUUACGAUACAUCUUACUUACAUUUAAAAUAAAAUCCUUAAAAAGUAAUAGUUCUAUACGAAUGCAAACUUUAUUAGUUUUUUUUAGCUUAUGUCACUUUGCUUGUUUUCUGGAAAGCUAAUGCUUGAUUCAAACUAAAUUCAACUUUUAAUGCGAAGAAUGGAAAAAAAACAAAUUACUGUUACCUUCACAGGGCCCCAGAGUACAUUGUUACAUUGAUCACAGUAGGUUGGAGUUGUGAAGUUGUAGCGUUCAAAGCGGUGAGGAGCAGAAUAUGGCUGAUGCGAAGAUGAUUCUUGAGUGUUGCUUGUGCCGACAAGUUUUCCUCGCAUUAGGAUCUCCAGCGUUGAGCGCUUGUGCAACAAACGACCAUGCCAGCGAACCAGCUGUGUGCUUAAAGAUGCAUGUCGCUGCAAUUAUCAACGAUUAUUAGACUCAAAACAGAGAUAUUGGAAAGUACACAUUCAAAAUAUUUAUGUUGGAGCAUGACAGGUUGGGUGAUUCAUGAUACCUUCAUUCUUCAUUUGUAACCAUAUUUUAUGGUUUUUUUUUUUUUUUUGUUUGUUUAGUGCUUGUUUUAAAUUUAUUGCAUUAAUGCAACCUGCAUUUGUUUAAUCUGUAAUUCAAAAUAGUAUUCCUUUUUGUCUAUGGCCGAAGCAUUUUAAUUCUUUAAUUGGUAUUCUACGAAUUUUCACCAAUUUUCUCUAUUUGAUAUUAUUUCUAUUUCUUUAUAGUGCUUAUAAUAUGGAUGCAUUGCUCUAUGUUGCUUGUUGCUAUUAUAUAUAUACUAUUCUCUUGUAAUCGGACUGGAGUAACAAUAGAACGAUUUUUACAAUGUGAAUAGAAAGUUGAAUGAGAAAAAAGAUCAACAAAAAAUGUUCUUGAAAGUUGACUGAUUUACCGUGAGGGAGUCUGUUGUCGGAAGUUCCAGUGUGUCCCACAGAAUUUUCCACUUCUGAGGUAAGUGUCCCAAUUCCGUCUCUAGUUUGUGGAUAUCUUCGAGGAUGUAGGUGAAUGCAUCUGGAGAGAUCGCUCCACUGAAUGAUACCUAAAAUAAAGCAGAAAUUUGAUUAAAUAAGAAAAAUACUCCUCAGUGACGCUUCAAAAUUUGUGAUAUUUUCAGAAAAUAUAAUUUAUUUCCAUUUUGAUGUUCAUCUUCUUCACUAAAGAAAGUCGAUGCAUUUCUCCCCUCAACACUAACAGUAAUACUUCGAUUAUUCGAUGAAUGGAGAAUUUGCACACACAAAUUUUAUUGGUUCAUCUUAAAGUGCCGAAUGAGCUGAGUUUGCAGUAUUUUUCAUAAUUUUUUUCGGACAUGAGAAAUUGGAGAAAAAUUUAUUUAAAAGUGAGAAAAUGUGCCGCCUUAGGACGUCAUCUGACGGCAUUUCCAUUUAAACACAUGUAUUUUAGCAGAAUCGGUUAUUUUGUCAUACUCCUCAAAUAAUUGCUCAGUUCAUGAAUCAAGGGUAUCUUCGUGUUCAGUUCAUUUAGUAGAUUCCACUAAAACACGAAAUUCAUCAAAUUUCAGACCCUUGCAAAUUGUCCAUUGUGGCAAAACUCGCAUCGGAUAAGUGAUGGCCAAAUAAUGGAGGUACUAAUGUAAAUAGAAAAAUAAAAUUACUGGAGGAGUAAAUUUAGAUAAAAAGUUUUCAAAUGUGCCCAAUGACUAGCUUGAUACAAUACUUUGAAUAACUUUAUUCCUGUUUGAUUAAAAAAAAAACAAAACUUAUCUCUUACCCUAAGGAUACAACUUUGCGCUGGGAUUUGGUGACACCAUCAGCGGCUUCAGCCUCUUCCUCUUGCUGGGAAUCCAUUUGGAUUAUUUCCAAAUCGUAACUGGGUCCAUGUGCAAGCUCUUCACUGAGGUAAUAUCGCCACACUUCAAGGUUUGCCAUAUGCGACUGCGGACGCAAAACCUGCACCGAAAAAUUUUAUGAAUGUUAUCUUUGACAUGGAGUGUGCAAGGGGAAAUGAGUUUGAAUUUAAUAGUCAAAAAGGGAUCCUUGCUUGGAAAGAAACACAAAACACCUGACAGUUUGAAAUUGUGCAAGAGCUCUCACAUCUUAGAAUUAUAUUGAAAAAUGUAUUUCCAAUAUUUCUUGAAAAAUAAUUCAUUUAUAAACGGGGUUAAAAUGACUUUAAAGAUGAAUACAAACCGGGUGAUCAAGAUCUGGCUGAUACAUAAAGUUGAAAAACACCGGUGAUCGUGCAUGCUGCUUUUCAAUGUAAUCAAACAAUGACUGCCCAAGAUUUGGUCCAACAUGAGUGCCAGCCAGUCUGCCGCCAGGAUAGAUUGUUUCGUCAUCAGACCCAGUAUCCACCCCCUUAUGGUGCGAUGUCAACGAGCCCCGCUUGUCUUCCACAGCAGCGAUCCCACACUCCACCCGCUCCAACUCACAAUCCAGCAAAACGUGCGGAAGCGACACGAUACGGAAUGAUAAGCGAGAAAACGGAGGUAGAAAUCGUUGAACUCAAAGGCUAAAGGAAACUGAUUUUGGAUUUGAUGCACGCAAUCUAGGAAUUGAAG